UUGUGGCUCAGUGGUAGAGUGCUUGUCUAGCAAGUGCAAGGCCCUGGGUUCGAUCCUCAGCAUAAA
RNAcentral lists this transfer RNA (66 nucleotides) under Marmota monax (woodchuck). RNAcentral describes it as "tRNA.Ala". The record is from RNAcentral. Lineage: Eukaryota; Metazoa; Chordata; Mammalia; Rodentia; Sciuridae.